This 252-nucleotide ribosomal RNA is filed under the name uncultured bacterium. Its description in RNAcentral is "partial 16S ribosomal RNA". It matches the Rfam family "Bacterial small subunit ribosomal RNA", at positions 524 to 776 of the family's 1533-position model. The record is from RNAcentral.
UACAGAGACUGCAAGCGUUAUUCGGAUUCACUGGGCGUAAAGGGUGCGCAGGCGGCCAUGUGUGUGAGGCGUGAAAGCCCGGAGCUCAACUCCGGAAUUGCACCUCAAACUACACGGCUAGAGCAUUGGAGAGGGUAGCGGAAUUCACGGUGUAGCAGUGAAAUGCGUAGAUAUCGUGAGGAACACCAGAGGCGAAGGCGGCUACCUGUCUGCGACUGACGCUGUGGCGCGAAAGCUAGGGGAGCAAACGGG